GCGGAGGAGGAUUCCAUUAUUAUUAUUAUUAUUUUUUGUUUGUCAUCUUUCCGUUUAAAUCCUCCUCUCAGCCCUUCUCCCUUCUUUGCCUGCUCCAAGAAAAACCCUAACCGAGUCCAAUGGCUGGCGGAGAAGAUCUCGACUGCCCCUCCGCGCUGGCGUCGGCGGCUUCGUCCGCCGGAUCGCCGCUCUCUCGCCUCGGAAGUCGGCGGUCCGUCCACCGUGCCCUUGGCGGCGGCGCAGUUGCCGAUGUGCUCCUUUGGAGGCGGAGGAACGCCGGGAUUCUAGUCGCGGCAGGCGCCACCGCCGUCUGGUUCCUCUUCGAACGGGCUGGUUACAGCUUCCUCUCUCUAAUGGCCAACGCAUUCCUCCUUGUCGUCGUUAUCCUCUUCUUCUGGGCCAAAUCAGCCUCUCUUCUCAACAGACCUCUUCCGCCCCUUCCCAAUCUUGAAGUUUCGGAGAAGUUCGUAGGGAAAGCUGCGGAUGAAGGUCGGGUGUGGAUCAAUCGUGUUUUGGCUGUUGGACAUGAUGUUGCCAUUAGGAGAGAUAGGAAAGUGUUUCUUCAGGUACUCUUUGCCCGCUUUCAUGCUUUGUUAAGUUUAAGAUUGUGUAUUUUCUUACUUGCGUCUGAUAUUAUUCUUUUGUCCCCUUUUGUUCUACAGGUUACAAUGGUUUUGUGGCUUGUUUCAUAUAUCGGGAGUUUGUUUAACUUCCUUACACUGGUUUACAUUGGGGUGCUUCUGUCUCUCACUGCUCCUGCAUUGUAUGACAAGUACCAGGGCCAUGUUGAUGAAAAGCUUGGUAUGGCACACAAAUUACUCUUGAAGCAGUAUGACAACAUUCUAAGCAGGGGAACAAGAAAGCCAGCCAAAGAAAAGAAGACUCAGUAGCAUGAUGGUCGCACUCUGUUGACUCCUCCCAUGCUCCAAGUUAUUUCGUUCGGUGGAUUUGAGUUCUAUAUCUCAUGUCUUCUUGCAAUCUUUGAAUUCCUGCACCAGUCAGAGGAUGAUUUAAUCAAGUUAUGGUGAUCUUAUGGCGAGGUUGAUGAGAGAUGAAAAGAUGGAACAUUUGCCAGAAAGGAUGAGUAUGAUGCCCUGAAUAUAGUUGUAUUAAGUGAAAAAUGAGACAUCUUUUACAUUUCUUAUCUUUACGUCUUCUUUCAGGAGUAAAAUAAUCAUCUUUACUUUCCUUCAUGUAAAGUUGUUUUGGUGGAUCUUUCAGAAGAAGACAAGGAAUUAAGAAAAUUUUCAAUUGUACAACAUUGAGAACAACAUGGUUCCUGAUUAUCCAUCUACCCUUGAUGUAACUCUCAGGAUUGUAGACACUGUUGAAGAUCCUAUGAUGUGUUAUGAUGAAAAGAAAGCAAGGACGACAAUUUGUUGCCAUUGCAUAUAAGAUUGUACUUGAUAGUAGUCAUGAUGAAAUUGGAAAUUAUUUAUUGGACAAUCUCCAGAACUUGUGGUAUUGUUUUCUCUGAUCGCUGAAUUCUCAAUGUGAGAUUUAUGAUACUAUGUUCAAAUAAAUGGUAAAUCUCUCUGGGGGGAAAAUGGCAACAUUAAUAAAAAAGAUGACCUAAUCAAAUUACGGCGAGUGCCUUAUUUACCAAAAGCAGGUGCAGGAGCACAGUAUGAGCUCUUAUAUAAAAUUAAUUGGUAAGUUUAAUAAGCGGCUGCAAGGAUGAGUUUCCGAGGAGAUUCUGAAGUGGUGCGCCACCCUAACUGGAUGAACUCUGUCUCGGUAAACAAAAUUUCUCCUUUUUUAUUCUUCUUUGAAUUCAACAACUUGCUACCAAGGUGAAUACAUGUAAAGCUCUUAUAAAAAUGUGGAAAAUUCUCCAUAAAGAAUGAGCAUGAGGCACCACACAUACAAGUACUUUGUGGAAAGUUAGUCACCUUAUACCAUUUUUCUAAUCUCUCUUACAUAAGUAAUUUUUCUUACUUUGAGAACAUAGACAUAAUAAGAGGUGGAAGGAGUAAAAAUGAUCUUCUUUCUUCCUCCUGGUCAUGAAUUUUUUUGUGGAUAUAUCCAAGGAAGAUAAAGGAAAAGGCAAUCUUUCGAUGUUAUAAUAUUGAGAAUGAUGGCAUCCUGAUUAUUCACUUACCCUUGAGGGUGUAGCUUUCGAAAUUGUAAACAUUGUUGAAUAUUUUAUGAUAUGUUAUGAUGAAAAGAUACACACAAAGAUAAUAUGUUGUCGUUGCAAGUAUGAUUAUACUUCAUCAUUUUCAUGAUGAAGUUGAGGAAUCAUUAGUUUUAAUCUCCAAAACCUCCAAAUUGAUUCUCUUCGUUGCAGCAAAAUGUCAAAGGAGAUAUCUUAGCCUAUGUUCAAAUUGAUAGUGAAUCUCUCCAAAGGUAAAAGCUUUUUAGAAGUCAAUUUUUUUUCGGACCAUACACUGAGAAAUGCUCUAAGGAAUCAUGGACCUUCCUUUUCAUUAGGUUUUAAUGACACUAUUUAAAGUCCUAAAGGAACUCAAUAGCAAGUUCCAUGUAGCAGACAUGAUUGAUGCAAGUGAAAAAUCUGUAAUUUUUAGGCACCCUGAGUCUGCUUCUUUUCUAUGGUCGCGACUAAAUAAUAAUUUUAAAGCUUUUAAUUGCAUUUUUUUUGAUAUAGUUGUAAUUGCAUGAACUUCACUUUCUAGUUCUGUGUUCUCUUUGGAUGAGAUUGUAAGGAUGUUGAAGUUUGGUUCUUGUUUGAGCAUGUGAUCAGAUUGGAAGUAUGAGAAUAAUUUGAAGUUUCUUGUUUGAAGAACCUAUAAUUAUUUUGAUUAUGGUUAUAAUCAGGAGAAAGACAUGAAGGUUUAAUUUUCAUUAAAUGUUAGUGUAGGCUCAAAUAUAUCAAGGUUGCAGUUUUUGUUUUUAAUUGAAAAGGUUUGGUCCAACAUGACAUCAGUUAUCAUUUAUUUUCAUUCUAAAUGGGUUUUUGUUGAAAACAUAACAAAAGUAUGAAGAGAUUAAAGACCCUCCUGAAUCCUCAAUAUUCUUUCUUUAGUGUCAUCUCUCAUCCAAGUACCAACUUCAGAAAGUGAUGAGAGAUACAUGGUUGCUAGGCACUUAUAAAGUCAUUAAAAUUAUGAUGGAAGUUAUGAUAAAUUGGAUUGAGUAAGUUGAUGCCAUUUAUUCAAGGUGCCAACUAACUUGAUGAUCUCGGUCCUAUCCUCUCUAGGUUCCAGACAUCAACUUGAGGUUUCUCAGUCAUAAAGGCCUGAGAUUGGUUUAUAUUCUAAAUGGGUGUUUAAGAUGUAAAGCAUGAGGUCAUUCGAAGUUAAAAUAUCUGAUAUUUGUCCCUUCUAUCUUAAAUAUUUACGAAGUCUACCUUACAUGAUUUUUUCCCAGGUUUAUCUUUCUAGGUGCUUCAGGUACAGUUGUAGUCUUAUUACGUCCAUGUAUUGUUAAGUGUUCAUGCUAGUUUCCAUGUGCAAAUGUUCAUGGUAGAAAUUAUCCCAGUUUUAUCUUUUGCUGUUGUCUUUUUGCAUAUAGAGAACAGUAUCUAAAACUUGUUAUAACUACA
Phoenix dactylifera (date palm) is the source of this 3505-nucleotide RNA transcript. It is a transcript of the gene named reticulon-like protein B11, with no coding region annotated. NCBI's taxonomy places the organism in Eukaryota, Viridiplantae, Streptophyta, Magnoliopsida, Arecales, Arecaceae. The record is from RefSeq and is a predicted model, not a curated record.